UGCAAGUCGAGCGGUAGAGAGAAGCUUGCUUCUCUUGAGAGCGGCGGACGGGUGAGUAAUGCCUAGGAAUCUGCCUGGUAGUGGGGGAUAACGCUCGGAAACGAACGCUAAUACCGCAUACGUCCUACGGGAGAAAGCAGGGGACCUUCGGGCCUUGCGCUAUCAGAUGAGCCUAGGUCGGAUUAGCUAGUUGGUGAGGUAAUGGCUCACCAAGGCGACGAUCCGUAACUGGUCUGAGAGGAUGAUCAGUCACACUGGAACUGAGACACGGUCCAGACUCCUACGGGAGGCAGCAGUGGGGAAUAUUGGACAAUGGGCGAAAGCCUGAUCCAGCCAUGCCGCGUGUGUGAAGAAGGUCUUCGGAUUGUAAAGCACUUUAAGUUGGGAGGAAGGGCAUUAACCUAAUACGUUGGUGUCUUGACGUUACCGACAGAAUAAGCACCGGCUAACUCUGUGCCAG
Molecule: ribosomal RNA, 460 nt
Filed under: uncultured bacterium
Lineage: Bacteria
Description: bacterial SSU rRNA
Rfam family: Bacterial small subunit ribosomal RNA
Source: RNAcentral